UUAAGUUAGAAAGGGCGCACGGUGGAUGCCUUGACACUAGGAGUCGAUGAAGGACGGGACUAACGCCGAUAUGCUUCGGGGAGCUGUAAGUAAGCUUUGAUCCGAAGAUUUCCGAAUGGGGAAACCCACCAUACGUAAUGGUAUGGUAUCCUUAUCUGAAUACAUAGGGUAAGGAAGACAGACCCAGGGAACUGAAACAUCUAAGUACCUGGAGGAAGAGAAAGCAAAUGCGAUUUCCUGAGUAGCGGCGAGCGAAACGGAACAUAGCCCAAACCAAGAGGCUUGCCUCUUGGGGUUGUAGGACAUUCUAUACGGAGUUACAAAGGAACGAGGUAGACGAAGCGACCUGGAAAGGUCCGUCGUAGAGGGUAACAACCCCGUAGUCGAAACUUCGUUCUCUCUUGAAUGUAUCCUGAGUACGGCGGAACACGUGAAAUUCCGUCGGAAUCUGGGAGGACCAUCUCCCAAGGCUAAAUACUCCCUAGUGAUCGAUAGUGAACCAGUACCGUGAGGGAAAGGUGAAAAGCACCCCGGAAGGGGAGUGAAAGAGAUCCUGAAACCGUGUGCCUACAAAUAGUCAGAGCCCGUUAACGGGUGAUGGCGUGCCUUUUGUAGAAUGAACCGGCGAGUUACGAUCCCGUGCGAGGUUAAGCUGAAGAGGCGGAGCCGCAGCGAAAGCGAGUCUGAAUAGGGCGUUUAGUACGUGGUCGUAGACCCGAAACCAGGUGAUCUACCCAUGUCCAGGGUGAAGUUCAGGUAACACUGAAUGGAGGCCCGAACCCACGCACGUUGAAAAGUGCGGGGAUGAGGUGUGGGUAGCGGAGAAAUUCCAAUCGAACCUGGAGAUAGCUGGUUCUCCCCGAAAUAGCUUUAGGGCUAGCCUUAAGUGUAAGAGUCUUGGAGGUAGAGCACUGAUUGGACUAGGGGUCCUCAUCGGAUUACCGAAUUCAGUCAAACUCCGAAUGCCAAUGACUUAUCCUUAGGAGUCAGACUGCGAGUGAUAAGAUCCGUAGUCAAAAGGGAAACAGCCCAGACCGCCAGCUAAGGUCCCAAAGUGUGUAUUAAGUGGAAAAGGAUGUGGAGUUGCUUAGACAACUAGGAUGUUGGCUUAGAAGCAGCCACCAUUUAAAGAGUGCGUAAUAGCUCACUAGUCGAGUGACUCUGCGCCGAAAAUGUACCGGGGCUAAAUACACCACCGAAGCUGCGGAUUGAUACCAAUGGUAUCAGUGGUAGGGGAGCGUUCUAAGGACAGUGAAGUCAGACCGGAAGGACUGGUGGAGUGCUUAGAAGUGAGAAUGCCGGUAUGAGUAGCGAAAGACGGGUGAGAAUCCCGUCCACCGAAUGCCUAAGGUUUCCUGAGGAAGGCUCGUCCGCUCAGGGUUAGUCAGGACCUAAGCCGAGGCCGACAGGCGUAGGCGAUGGACAACAGGUUGAUAUUCCUGUACCACCUCUUUAUCGUUUGAGCAAUGGAGGGACGCAGAAGGAUAGAAGAAGCGUGCGAUUGGUUGUGCACGUCCAAGCAGUUAGGCUGAUAAGUAGGCAAAUCCGCUUAUCGUAAAGGCUGAGCUGUGAUGGGGAAGCUCCUUAUGGAGCGAAGUCUUUGAUUCCCCGCUGCCAAGAAAAGCUUCUAGCGAGAUAAAAGGUGCCUGUACCGCAAACCGACACAGGUAGGCGAGGAGAGAAUCCUAAGGUGUGCGAGAGAACUCUGGUUAAGGAACUCGGCAAAAUGACCCCGUAACUUCGGGAGAAGGGGUGCUUUCUUAACGGAAAGCCGCAGUGAAUAGGCCCAAGCGACUGUUUAGCAAAAACACAGCUCUCUGCGAAGCCGUAAGGCGAAGUAUAGGGGGUGACACCUGCCCGGUGCUGGAAGGUUAAGGAGAGGGGUUAGCGUAAGCGAAGCUCUGAACUGAAGCCCCAGUAAACGGCGGCCGUAACUAUAACGGUCCUAAGGUAGCGAAAUUCCUUGUCGGGUAAGUUCCGACCCGCACGAAAGGUGUAACGAUUUGGGCACUGUCUCAACCAGAGACUCGGUGAAAUUAUAGUACCUGUGAAGAUGCAGGUUACCCGCGACAGGACGGAAAGACCCCGUGGAGCUUUACUGUAGCCUGAUAUUGAAUUUUGGUACAGUUUGUACAGGAUAGGCGGGAGCCUUUGAAACCGGAGCGCUAGCUUCGGUGGAGGCGCUGGUGGGAUACCGCCCUGACUGUAUUGAAAUUCUAACCUACGGGUCUUAUCGACCCGGGAGACAGUGUCAGGUGGGCAGUUUGACUGGGGCGGUCGCCUCCUAAAGUGUAACGGAGGCGCCCAAAGGUUCCCUCAGAAUGGUUGGAAAUCAUUCGUAGAGUGCAAAGGCAUAAGGGAGCUUGACUGCGAGACCUACAAGUCGAGCAGGGACGAAAGUCGGGCUUAGUGAUCCGGUGGUUCCGCAUGGAAGGGCCAUCGCUCAACGGAUAAAAGCUACCCCGGGGAUAACAGGCUUAUCUCCCCCAAGAGUCCACAUCGACGGGGAGGUUUGGCACCUCGAUGUCGGCUCAUCGCAUCCUGGGGCUGUAGUCGGUCCCAAGGUUGGGCUGUUCGCCCAUUAAAGCGGUACGCGAGCUGGGUUCAGAACGUCGUGAGACAGUUCGGUCCCUAUCCGUCGUGGGCGUAGGAAAUUUGAGAGGAGCUGUCCUUAGUACGAGAGGACCGGGAUGGACGCACCGCUGGUGUACCAGUUGUUCUGCCAAGGGCAUAGCUGGGUAGCUAUGUGCGGAAGGGAUAAGUGCUGAAAGCAUCUAAGCAUGAAGCCCCCCUCAAGAUGAGAUUUCCCAUAGCGUAAGCUAGUAAGAUCCCUGAAAGAUGAUCAGGUUGAUAGGUUCGAGGUGGAAGCAUGGUGACAUGUGGAGCUGACGAAUACUAAUAGAUCGAGGACUUAACCAU
RNAcentral lists this ribosomal RNA (2919 nucleotides) under Bacillus cereus. Its description in RNAcentral is "bacterial LSU rRNA". It matches the Rfam family "Bacterial large subunit ribosomal RNA". Lineage: Bacteria; Bacillati; Bacillota; Bacilli; Caryophanales; Bacillaceae. The record is from RNAcentral.